CAGCCGCCACGGGAAUACGAGGGGGGCAAGCGUUGUUCGGAAUUAUUGGGCGUAAAGGGUGCGUAGGCGGCUUGACAAGUCUUAUGUGAAAUCUAUGGGCUCAACCCAUAGUCUGCACGGGAAACUGUCGGGCUCGAGAAUGGGAGAGGUGAGUGGAAUUUCCGGUGUAGCGGUGAAAUGCGUAGAUAUCGGAAGGAACACCUGUGGCGAAAGCGGCUCACUGGACCAUUUCUGACGCUGAUGCACGAAAGCUAGGGGAGCAAACAGGAUUAGAUACCCGUGUAGUCCCUGUCUCUUAUAC
Molecule: ribosomal RNA, 301 nt
Filed under: uncultured bacterium
Lineage: Bacteria
Description: partial 16S ribosomal RNA
Rfam family: Bacterial small subunit ribosomal RNA
Source: RNAcentral